AUAAAUCACUCUGCCUUGAGAAGUUUCCAGUCUGCCAGCCAAAUCCUGGGAAUCUGAAACAGCGGGAGGCAACUGGUGCAGCAGAACAGCUCCAUGCUGACCCAGACCCCGUGCCUGGAGCUUGGCAUCCACAGCUGGAGUCUCCCCAGCCUCGGCGGCACCAGGAGAGAAGCGAGGCUGGGAUCAGCAACACGGCUCUAAUCGUGGUGCAUUAAUAGGAUCAUCGGGAAGACCCCAACUGCUGCAACUCCAGCCUGAGACAGAGGGGCAGAACCUUCACCUGUGACAG
Molecule: long non-coding RNA, 289 nt
Organism: Hirundo rustica (Barn swallow)
Lineage: Eukaryota; Metazoa; Chordata; Aves; Passeriformes; Hirundinidae
Exons: 3
Source: RefSeq, a predicted model, not a curated record